RNAcentral lists this ribosomal RNA (230 nucleotides) under uncultured bacterium. RNAcentral's name for it is "partial 16S ribosomal RNA". It matches the Rfam family "Bacterial small subunit ribosomal RNA", at positions 87 to 334 of the family's 1533-position model. The record is from RNAcentral.
UAGUCCCAGCGGCAGACGGGUGAGUAACGCGUGGGAACAUACCUUUUGGUUCGGAACAACACAGGGAAACUUGUGCUAAUACCGGAUAAGCCCUUACGGGGAAAGAUUUAUCGCCGAAAGAUUGGCCCGCGUCUGAUUAGCUAGUUGGUGAGGUAACGGCUCACCAAGGCGACGAUCAGUAGCUGGUCUGAGAGGAUGAUCAGCCACAUUGGGACUGAGACACGGCCCAG